GACGAACGCUGGCGGCGUGCUUAACACAUGCAAGUCGAACGGAAAGGCCCUGCUUGCAGGGUGCUCGAGUGGCGAACGGGUGAGUAACACGUGGGUGAUCUGCCCCUUACUUUGGGAUAAGCCUGGGAAACUGGGUCUAAUACUGGAUAGGACCAUGCUGUAGGUGGUGCGGUGGAAAGAUUAGUUUCGGUAAGGGAUGAGCUCGCGGCCUAUCAGCUUGUUGGUGGGGUAAUGGCCUACCAAGGCGUCGACGGGUAGCCGGCCUGAGAGGGUGGACGGCCACAUUGGGACUGAGAUACGGCCCAGACUCCUACGGGAGGCAGCAGUGGGGAAUAUUGCACAAUGGGCGCAAGCCUGAUGCAGCGACGCCGCGUGGGGGAUGACGGCCUUCGGGUUGUAAACUCCUUUCAGCCAUGACGAAGCCCUUGUGGUGACGGUAGUGGUAGAAGAAGCACCGGCUAACUACGUG
This 469-nucleotide ribosomal RNA is filed under the name uncultured bacterium. Its description in RNAcentral is "partial 16S ribosomal RNA". It matches the Rfam family "Bacterial small subunit ribosomal RNA", at positions 28 to 507 of the family's 1533-position model. The record is from RNAcentral.